GAUGAACGCUGGCGGCGUGCCUAAUACAUGCAAGUCGAGCGAACAGACGAGGAGCUUGCUCCUCUGACGUUAGCGGCGGACGGGUGAGUAACACGUGGAUAACCUACCUAUAAGACUGGGAUAACUUCGGGAAACCGGAGCUAAUACCGGAUAAUAUAUUGAACCGCAUGGUUCAAUAGUGAAAGACGGUUUUGCUGUCACUUAUAGAUGGAUCCGCGCCGCAUUAGCUAGUUGGUAAGGUAACGGCUUACCAAGGCAACGAUGCGUAGCCGACCUGAGAGGGUGAUCGGCCACACUGGAACUGAGACACGGUCCAGACUCCUACGGGAGGCAGCAGUAGGGAAUCUUCCGCAAUGGGCGAAAGCUUGACGGAGCAACGCCGCGUGAGUGAUGAAGGUCUUCGGAUCGUAAAACUCUGUUAUUAGGGAAGAACAAAUGUAUAAGAAACUAUGCACGUCUUGACGGUACCUAAUCAGAAAGCCACGGCUAACUACGUG
Molecule: ribosomal RNA, 497 nt
Filed under: uncultured bacterium
Lineage: Bacteria
Description: partial 16S ribosomal RNA
Rfam family: Bacterial small subunit ribosomal RNA
Source: RNAcentral